This 2382-nucleotide long non-coding RNA is filed under the name Canis lupus familiaris (dog). RNAcentral's name for it is "lncRNA (ENSCAFG00845028025.1)". Lineage: Eukaryota; Metazoa; Chordata; Mammalia; Carnivora; Canidae. The record is from RNAcentral.
UUUUUUUUUUUUUUUUUUUAGUAAGUGUGUAGAUUGACAUUGUGCAACUGAUUUUGUUUUCAGAGAUUACUUUGGUUUAAAAAUAAAUAGAAAGGAUUAUAUUUCCAGGAACUAUUUCGUUCAAAAUAGCAAAUUUCACAGAUGAUUUAUUCCAUAAUGAUAAUGCAUCUCCUGAUGUUUAUUAAAUUAAGGAACUUGAUAACCAGGAAACUAGUACCAAAAACGUGUCCUUAAACAUUUGGUCAAUAGCUAAUAAUUCUUUUAAAGUUUAAAGUAGAUGUUCAUUCUGUAUUCAGGAGAAGUUAUAAAUUUAAAAAUCCUUCCCAAUGAAUUUUUUCAUUAUAGAAUAACCCUGUUUACAUUGAGCCAGGCAAAAUACGUACUAUCGAGCAAAGGAAAACCACUUGAAUGUAUCGAGAAUAAAAUCUGUAUCAACAAGGAACUCAAUUCUCUGAUAAGGAGGAUUGGAUACCCAGCACAAGUAAACCUUUGGAGGAAUUUUCUGUGGAGUGAAGAUAGAGGAUAGAUCAGAAUUCUAACCUCCACCCCAAGGGAUAUAACAGUUCUGCACAUGGCAGAAAGUCAAAACUGGCAGCUGCGUGUUCCAGUUCUGCAAUUCUCUGCAGGAAAUGGGCAUCUGCCCCAUUUUCAAAAAAGAUUGAGACUAGAGGAAAAAGGAAGAUUUUUGUUCUUCAUUAGCUCAACAAAAUAUGCGUUCUAUAAUUUUUUCUUUCAUUUGAUGUGAACUUUUCAAAGUGAUAUAUAGACUCAGAUUUAAAUAAAAGAAUCAUAUUUUAAAUGCUCUUGAAAAAGCUUAUAAUUUGAAGAACAAAACUGUAAGAAAUUUAAGUAGGGAGAAAAUGGAGAAAAUCACAUUUUGCACACUUUCCUUUAGGUAACUCAAAUUCAGUAUUUGGUUAAGGAUAGAUCAGUGGAAGGCUACUUCAGCUUAUAUCAUUGACUUUUUUUUCAAGUUAUUACAAGAAAUAUCAUAUGUAAAUAACUUUUCUACUUUUGAAAACACUAUCCAUGUAGCUUCAUAUUCCAAAUGACUUUUUGUUUUUUUAAGUAAGUGCUGGGGGAAAAAAAAGCUACUGAUAAAUCUUGCCAAGUGGAGGCCAAUAUAGCAACUAAAUUAGUCAUUGUGGUUAAUAUAUUUGGUCUCUAUAACCUCAUUUUAACUUCCAUGUUUGUGCCUUGUGUAUAUGUUCCUUUUAAAGGUGUUUUUGAAAAUUUCUGGAAAUAGAUAUGAUUUUUUUUAAAAGAAUAAAGUACUCCAUGAUAGAAUAUAAUAAUUCUUUCCAUAAUGUGAAAGAAGUAUUCAAGUUAGGUCUUAAUACCUAUUUUUUAACAUGUUAAAUUAAGUUCAAGUAUCCAUGUAUUUAACAUUCAGGGAGCAGAGUCAACUUCAUUGAACAUACACUGUGUUAGAGUCAAAAGAUUUUGACUGUAUCCAACAUUGGUAAAAAGUAAAUUUCUAUUUUACAAAGUAAGUUUGUUCCCACUGACAUUUUGUACUUUCAUAAUUUAUAAGAUAUUCUUGUUAUUUAAUAGAUCCCUCCAGCUUUCUCUGAGGUAGCACCUCAAUUUAUUUCCCUGACACUUACAGAUUGAUGACCUGAUCCAUGAGUAGAAAAGCAAGGGGGAGAAAAGCAACUGAUUGACAGUAGCCAAGACUGCCAUAUUUCAAGAGAUGAAAGAGCCAGGAUUAUAGUCUGCAGUUAUAUGCCUCUUUCUGCUCAAAAUAUGGGGUGGGAUGACAUGGCAGAGGCUGUGGCCCUUAUCAACUAGGUGGAACUCUUUAGCCAAUCAGCUUGAAAUCCCUAAGGGCUUUAGAAAGCUGUGUCAAAUAUCUACUUUAUAACAUGAAUGGUAACUAAGGAAAAUUAAAUGCAUUUUUUGGGAAGAUGAACAAAGCAUCAUGUUUUGUCUUUAUUUUUUUUUUUUUUUUUUUUUAAAGAUUUUAUUUUUUAAUUCUUAUUUAUUUAUGAUAGUCACAGAGAGAGAGAGAGAGAGGCAGAGACAUAGGCAGAGGGAGAAGCAGGCUCCAUGCACCGGGAGCCCGACGUGGGAUUCGAUCCCGGGUCUCCAGGAUCGCGCCCUAGGCCAAAGGCAGGCGCCAAACCGCUGCGCCACCCAGGGAUCCCUCAUGUUUUGUCUUUAAUUCAGUUUAUGCUGGUUCAUGAUAUAGCAGUCACGAUAGGGUUUGGGGCAACAGUUGAAAACUUGAUCCUGCCCUGGUUACACUGGCCUUUCAGUCUGGAUAAUUUUAUUUCAGGUGAUAUGUGGGAGUGAAGAAAACAAAACAAGACAGAGAAGAACAGUAACUGUAGCAGUAUGCUCAGGCUGCAAUAACAAAACACCGUAGCCUGGGGUGGCUCC